AAUACCCUGCCUUGUUCGCAAUCAGACUAUCAUCUCUGAUCCUGUACUUAUAAGUUAUAGUAAGGGAGCUCGGAGUUCGCGUGGAGCCUACAUAUUCUUCUUUGGAGAAACGUAGAAACCUCGAGACAGAGCACCCACCUCGUUUUGCGAGGCUCAGAGAUCUGUCUUUAAGCGGCUAUGGCGGGGUAUUU
RNAcentral lists this non-coding RNA (191 nucleotides) under Kiritimatiellia bacterium. RNAcentral's name for it is "Kiritimatiellae bacterium (sponge metagenome) 6S RNA". It matches the Rfam family "6S / SsrS RNA". Rfam says of the family: E. coli 6S RNA was the first non coding RNA to be sequenced, but its function was unknown until recently. It consists of 184 nucleotides that fold into an extended hairpin structure with a large single-stranded internal bulge. The 6S RNA specifically associates with RNA polymerase holoenzyme containing the sigma70 specificity factor. The record is from RNAcentral. Lineage: Bacteria; Pseudomonadati; Kiritimatiellota; Kiritimatiellia.